This 490-nucleotide ribosomal RNA is filed under the name uncultured microorganism. RNAcentral describes it as "bacterial SSU rRNA". It matches the Rfam family "Bacterial small subunit ribosomal RNA", at positions 9 to 487 of the family's 1533-position model. The record is from RNAcentral.
GAGUUUGAUCAUGGCUCAGGAUGAACGCCGGCGGUGUGCCUAAUACAUGCAAGUCGUACGCACUGGCCCAACUGAUUGAUGGUGCUUGCACCUGAUCGACGAUGGAUCACCAGUGAGUGGCGGACGGGUGAGUAACACGUAGGUAACCUGCCCUGUACAGGGGGAUAACAAUCAGAAAUGACUGCUAAUACCGCAUAAGACCACAGCACCGCAUGGUGCAGGGGGUAAAAACUCCGGUGGUACAGGAUGGACCCGCGUCUGAUUAGCUGGUUGGUGAGGUAACGGCUCACCAAGGCGACGAUCAGUAGCCGGCUUGAGAGAGUGAACGGCCACAUUGGGACUGAGACACGGCCCAAACUCCUACGGGAGGCAGCAGUGGGGAAUAUUGCACAACGGGGAAACCCUGAUGCAGCAACGCCGCGUGAGUGAAGAAGUAUUUCGGUAUGUAAAGCUCUAUCAGCAGGGAAGAAAGUGACGGUACCUGACUAAG